CUACGGGGUGCAGCAGUUAGGCAUAAUCUACAAUGUACGCAAGUAUGAUAGUUUGAAUCAGAGUGCUUUGCUUUGCAAAGCUUUUGUGAAAUCUAAAAAGUUUUACGAAUAAGGACUGGGUAAGACGAGUGCCAGCCGCCGCGGUAAUACUCGCGGUCCAAGUCGCAGCCAUUUUUAUUGGGUCUAAAACAUCCGUAGCUUGCUUGGUAAGUUCCUUGUGAAAUCCUAUAUCUCAAGUAUGGGGCGCGCAAGGAGUACUGCUAAGCUAGAGACUGGGAGACGUAACGAGUACGUUUGAGGUAGCGGUAAAAUGUGUUAAUCUUAGACGGACUAACAAUAGCGAAGGCACGUUACGAGAACAGUUCUGACAGUAAGGGAUGAAGGCCAGGGGCGCAAAACGGAUUAGAUACCCUGGUAGUC
RNAcentral lists this ribosomal RNA (420 nucleotides) under uncultured archaeon. Its description in RNAcentral is "partial 16S ribosomal RNA". It matches the Rfam family "Archaeal small subunit ribosomal RNA", at positions 323 to 746 of the family's 1478-position model. The record is from RNAcentral.